ACGCUCGACACCUACGGGAGACAGCAGUGGGGAAUAUUGCACAAUGGGGGAAACCCUGAUGCAGCAACGCCGCGUGAAGGAAGACGGUUUUCGGAUUGUAAACUUCUGUUCGGUUAGUGAAGAUAGUGACGGUAGCUAAGGAGCAAGCCACGGCUAACUACGUGCCAGCAGCCGCGGUAAUCUGAGCGGGCUGGCAAGGC
This 200-nucleotide ribosomal RNA is filed under the name uncultured bacterium. Its description in RNAcentral is "partial 16S ribosomal RNA". It matches the Rfam family "Bacterial small subunit ribosomal RNA", at positions 328 to 539 of the family's 1533-position model. The record is from RNAcentral.